This 2702-nucleotide ribosomal RNA is filed under the name Salmonella enterica subsp. enterica serovar Agona. RNAcentral's name for it is "partial 23S ribosomal RNA". It matches the Rfam family "Bacterial large subunit ribosomal RNA". The record is from RNAcentral. Lineage: Bacteria; Pseudomonadati; Pseudomonadota; Gammaproteobacteria; Enterobacterales; Enterobacteriaceae.
AAUCCAUAGGUUAAUGAGGCGAACCGGGGGAACUGAAACAUCUAAGUACCCCGAGGAAAAGAAAUCAACCGAGAUUCCCCCAGUAGCGGCGAGCGAACGGGGAGGAGCCCAGAGCCUGAAUCAGCAUGUGUGUUAGUGGAAGCGUCUGGAAAGGCGCGCGAUACAGGGUGACAGCCCCGUACACAAAAGCGCAUGUGCUGUGAGCUCGAUGAGUAGGGCGGGACACGUGGUAUCCUGUCUGAAUAUGGGGGGACCAUCCUCCAAGGCUAAAUACUCCUGACUGACCGAUAGUGAACCAGUACCGUGAGGGAAAGGCGAAAAGAACCCCGGCGAGGGGAGUGAAAAAGAACCUGAAACCGUGUACGUACAAGCAGUGGGAGCACAGGUUUACCUGUGUGACUGCGUACCUUUUGUAUAAUGGGUCAGCGACUUAUAUUCUGUAGCAAGGUUAACCGCAUAGGGGAGCCGGAGGGAAACCGAGUCUUAAUUGGGCGUUAAGUUGCAGGGUAUAGACCCGAAACCCGGUGAUCUAGCCAUGGGCAGGUUGAAGGUUGGGUAACACUAACUGGAGGACCGAACCGACUAAUGUUGAAAAAUUAGCGGAUGACCUGUGGCUGGGGGUGAAAGGCCAAUCAAACCGGGAGAUAGCUGGUUCUCCCCGAAAGCUAUUUAGGUAGCGCCUCGUGAAUUCAUCUCCGGGGGUAGAGCACUGUUUCGGCUAGGGGGCCAUCCCGGCUUACCAACCCGAUGCAAACUGCGAAUACCGGAGAAUGUUAUCACGGGAGACACACGGCGGGUGCUAACGUCCGUCGUGAAGAGGGAAACAACCCAGACCGCCAGCUAAGGUCCCAAAGUCAUGGUUAAGUGGGAAACGAUGUGGGAAGGCCCAGACAGCCAGGAUGUUGGCUUAGAAGCAGCCAUCAUUUAAAGAAAGCGUAAUAGCUCACUGGUCGAGUCGGCCUGCGCGGAAGAUGUAACGGGGCUAAACCAUGCACCGAAGCUGCGGCAGCGAACGUAUCACUUAAAGCGAUUCAGCGGGUUACGAUUGACGGAGCGAAGCGACGUCAAAGCGUAUACAAAGUCGAGUCGGUUUAAGGAUACGUUCGUUGGGUAGGGGAGCGUUCUGUAAGCCUGCGAAGGUGGCCUGUGAGGGUUGCUGGAGGUAUCAGAAGUGCGAAUGCUGACAUAAGUAACGAUAAAGCGGGUGAAAAGCCCGCUCGCCGGAAGACCAAGGGUUCCUGUCCAACGUUAAUCGGGGCAGGGUGAGUCGACCCCUAAGGCGAGGCCGAAAGGCGUAGUCGAUGGGAAACGGGUUAAUAUUCCCGUACUUGGUGUUACUGCGAAGGGGGGACGGAGAAGGCUAUGUUGGCCGGGCGACGGUUGUCCCGGUUUAAGCGUGUAGGUGUGUGUUCCAGGUAAAUCCGGUUCACUUUAACACUGAGGCGUGAUGACGAGGCACUACGGUGCUGAAGCAACAAAUGCCCUGCUUCCAGGAAAAGCCUCUAAGCAUCAGGUAACAUCAAAUCGUACCCCAAACCGACACAGGUGGUCAGGUAGAGAAUACCAAGGCGCUUGAGAGAACUCGGGUGAAGGAACUAGGCAAAAUGGUGCCGUAACUUCGGGAGAAGGCACGCUGACACGUAGGUGAAGUGAUUUACUCAUGGAGCUGAAGUCAGUCGAAGAUACCAGCUGGCUGCAACUGUUUAUUAAAAACACAGCACUGUGCAAACACGAAAGUGGACGUAUACGGUGUGACGCCUGCCCGGUGCCGGAAGGUUAAUUGAUGGGGUCAGCGCAAGCGAAGCUCCUGAUCGAAGCCCCGGUAAACGGCGGCCGUAACUAUAACGGUCCUAAGGUAGCGAAAUUCCUUGUCGGGUAAGUUCCGACCUGCACGAAUGGCGUAAUGAUGGCCAGGCUGUCUCCACCCGAGACUCAGUGAAAUUGAACUCGCUGUGAAGAUGCAGUGUACCCGCGGCAAGACGGAAAGACCCCGUGAACCUUUACUAUAGCUUGACACUGAACAUUGAGCCUUGAUGUGUAGGAUAGGUGGGAGGCUUUGAAGUGUGGACGCCAGUCUGCAUGGAGCCGACCUUGAAAUACCACCCUUUAAUGUUUGAUGUUCUAACGUGGACCCGUAAUCCGGGUUGCGGACAGUGUCUGGUGGGUAGUUUGACUGGGGCGGUCUCCUCCUAAAGAGUAACGGAGGAGCACGAAGGUUGGCUAAUCCUGGUCGGACAUCAGGAGGUUAGUGCAAUGGCAUAAGCCAGCUUGACUGCGAGCGUGACGGCGCGAGCAGGUGCGAAAGCAGGUCAUAGUGAUCCGGUGGUUCUGAAUGGAAGGGCCAUCGCUCAACGGAUAAAAGGUACUCCGGGGAUAACAGGCUGAUACCGCCCAAGAGUUCAUAUCGACGGCGGUGUUUGGCACCUCGAUGUCGGCUCAUCACAUCCUGGGGCUGAAGUAGGUCCCAAGGGUAUGGCUGUUCGCCAUUUAAAGUGGUACGCGAGCUGGGUUUAGAACGUCGUGAGACAGUUCGGUCCCUAUCUGCCGUGGGCGCUGGAGAACUGAGGGGGGCUGCUCCUAGUACGAGAGGACCGGAGUGGACGCAUCACUGGUGUUCGGGUUGUCAUGCCAAUGGCACUGCCCGGUAGCUAAAUGCGGAAGAGAUAAGUGCUGAAAGCAUCUAAGCACGAAACUUGCCCCGA